Molecule: long non-coding RNA, 1295 nt
Filed under: Helianthus annuus (common sunflower)
Lineage: Eukaryota; Viridiplantae; Streptophyta; Magnoliopsida; Asterales; Asteraceae
Description: hypothetical non coding rna
Source: RNAcentral
GGUUAGGUGACAUUUUUCUCGGCAGCCACUUUUUAAUUAUUGUAAUAUCAUCACCCGGUGGUACCACACCAUGGGGCCAAUUUCCGGUGGUGCUCCUCCACCCUUUCUAUCUCCCGCCGCCUAAACACGGUCGUGCAUUCAGGCAGCUCGCCUAGAUCGGCAAAAAAAGAGUCUUCGUCGUCUCGAAUUGAAAAAAUCUUUGCCAUAUCGUUAUCUUCGGCCAUGUCCCUAGCCAUCAAGGGACUUUCGAGCAUGGUUGGUGAUGUGGAGUCAAAAUCUGAGAACCACUCGUAGUAUUGAUUGGUGGUUGUGGCAAAUGGCCCACAUGAUGACCCCACCUCGAAACUUGUGAACUUUUGGUCAGCCUUAGACUCAGGCUCAAGCUCUGGCUCAGGCUCAGACUCACGCUCAAACUCAGGCUCAGAUUGCCUAUUUGAAAUUUGAUGGUCAUCUUCUAAUUCUUCCAAUUGGUCAUUGGUAACGUCCGAAUUGGUUGCUUCAGUGGUGGUUGGUGGUGAUGGUGGCGUAUUGUAGUUGUGGUGGUGGUGGUGGUGAUUUUUGUUUUUUGAAGCCGGCCAAGGGUGGUUGUGCUCACAAGAAUACGUCACCAUCACCAUCGUAGGGUCCGCCCGGCUCCUCUCUACUUGUUUUCUUGCUGGACAACCUUUGGAACUACUACAUCUAUAAUAGCCCCUGCCAAACAAAACAAAUAAUUGAGGUUUGUAAACAAUUUAACUUAAUUAAUUUCAAUUAACCACUUUGUACAAUUGUACAAAUAGUCUAUUUCAAAAUUAAAAAAAAAAAAUAUUGAGAACUGCGAAAAACAGAUAUUGAUACACUAUAGAAUUAUGACAACCGCAUAAAGACAGUAACUACCUAGGGUACGGAGAUCCCUUGAUAGGUUUUUGGCCGUACUUUCUCCAAGCCCAGGAAUCAGCUGGUGGGGCGUUUGUCUCGCCCUUAAGUCGAGAUCUUUCAACUUCUUUGAUCGGUACGUGCACAACCCUUUUCUUCGCUCCUCGUUUACUGUGCAAGGAUUAAUCCAACAAUUAACAUAUGUCUUAGGUUGUGUGUGUUGUGUGUGUUUUGUACUAGGAUUUAACUCACCUUUUAGUAGAGGAAGUAGAUGUUGCCUUGGUGUCAUGGGAAAGAGGUGAACGCGGCGAUUCCUCACUGUUUUCUGGCGAGUUUUGAUCGUCUUCUUGAUGGACGCUGCGCCGGUGAAAUCCAACUUCCAUGAUGUGAUAACUACAAGUGUUUCUUUACAGAGAGAGAGAGAUUGGAGAAGGUGGUGA